Molecule: non-coding RNA, 21 nt
Filed under: Arabidopsis thaliana (thale cress)
Lineage: Eukaryota; Viridiplantae; Streptophyta; Magnoliopsida; Brassicales; Brassicaceae
Source: RNAcentral
AUACAUAGUGCCCUGUUUCAU